This 66-nucleotide transfer RNA is filed under the name Bacteroides thetaiotaomicron. RNAcentral describes it as "tRNA-Gly". It matches the Rfam family "tRNA". From Rfam's summary of the family: Transfer RNA (tRNA) molecules are approximately 80 nucleotides in length. Their secondary structure includes four short double-helical elements and three loops (D, anti-codon, and T loops). Lineage: Bacteria; Pseudomonadati; Bacteroidota; Bacteroidia; Bacteroidales; Bacteroidaceae. The record is from RNAcentral. RNAcentral also lists the same sequence under 1 other name.
GAAAUAGCUCAGUUGGUAGAGCAUAACCUUGCCAAGGUUAGGGUCGCGAGUUCGAGUCUCGUUUUC